This is a long non-coding RNA of Pezoporus flaviventris, 711 nucleotides long. RefSeq lists it as uncharacterized. The transcript is spliced from 3 exons. The record is from RefSeq and is a predicted model, not a curated record. Lineage: Eukaryota; Metazoa; Chordata; Aves; Psittaciformes; Psittacidae.
UCUAAGGCAUGGAUAAGAGGUGGGCUGGGUUUCCAGAGCCCAGGCCAAAUCCCACAGUAACCUUCUGCUUUUAUGGUAGGCUAAACUGAAGCCCUGGAUCUGUGUGUUAUAAGACGCCAAAGACUGUACUUUACAGUUGCUGUAAGGCAGAAACUGUCUUUUCUGCUACACAGAAAAACUUAAGCCUGCAGGAUGCAGAUCAAAACUUCCCUCCCAGGUUCAGCACUGCAGUUCCACUGGAGUCAGAGAGGCUAGGAAGAAAGCAUCAGCUUUUUGUGUAUUUUUCAUCCUGCCUUGAGGAUCAUUAUAACUGGAAGUCUCAUGAAACUUACUUCCGUUUUAGCAAAACUUCAAAUGCAAAGCACAUCAUGAAGGACUGCUUGGGUCUGCCUCUUCCAGAAAUCUACACUACAAGAAUGAUUGCACUGGUUCUGUACUCUGAGAAUCUAGCUGAACCUUUAUGGAAAAAGGGAGGCAGAAUGGGCCUGCAGGGCCACAGGGAUAGAAGAAACCACAGAUCAAGUUGCACGCCCUCCAAGACUUGACAAGAGCCAUCUUGGCAUAUGGAGGAUAGCAGGUAGGAGCCAACAGAUUACACAAAGCCCCUGGCUCUGCUCCUCUAGAGCCACAGCAACACCCCGAAAACCUCAGAAAGACUGCUGCUGUUCACUGAUAUUAACAAACUGCUAAUAAACCUAAUACUCAAACAUA